Non-coding RNA from Pangasianodon gigas (Mekong giant catfish), 72 nucleotides. The record is from the annotation of a GenBank genome assembly. Lineage: Eukaryota; Metazoa; Chordata; Actinopteri; Siluriformes; Pangasiidae.
UCCCUGGAGGACUAGUGGUUAGGUUAUGGUGCUCUCAUCGCUGCGGCUUGGGUUCGAUUCCCUGCCAGGGAA